CCUGAUGCAGCGACGCCGCGUGGGGGAUGACGGCCUUCGGGUUGUAAACUCCUUUCACCAUCGACGAAGGGUUUCUGACGGUAGAUGGAGAAGAAGCACCGGCUAACUACGUGCCAGCAGCCGCGGUAAUACGUAGGGUGCGAGCGUUGUCCGGAAUUACUGGGCGUAAAGAGCUCGUAGGUGGUUUGUCGCGUCGUCUGUGAAAUUCCGGGGCUUAACUCCGGGCGUGCAGGCGAUACGGGCAUAACUUGAGUACUGUAGGGGAGACUGGAAUUCCUGGU
This 281-nucleotide ribosomal RNA is filed under the name uncultured Corynebacterium sp. Its description in RNAcentral is "partial 16S ribosomal RNA". It matches the Rfam family "Bacterial small subunit ribosomal RNA", at positions 382 to 674 of the family's 1533-position model. The record is from RNAcentral. Lineage: Bacteria; Bacillati; Actinomycetota; Actinomycetes; Mycobacteriales; Corynebacteriaceae.